This 305-nucleotide ribosomal RNA is filed under the name uncultured bacterium. RNAcentral describes it as "partial 16S ribosomal RNA". It matches the Rfam family "Bacterial small subunit ribosomal RNA", at positions 508 to 807 of the family's 1533-position model. The record is from RNAcentral.
ACAGCAGCCGCCGCGGGAAUACGAAGGGUGCAAGCGUUACUCGGAGUUACUGGGCGUAAAGCGUGCGUAGGUGGUUGUUUAAGUCUGCUGUGAAAGCCCUGGGCUCAACCUGGGAAUUGCAGUGGAUACUGGGCAACUAGAGUAAGGUAGAGGAUAGUGGAAUUUCCGGUGUAGCAGUGAAAUGCGUAGAGAUCGGAAGGAACAUCUGUGGCGAAGGCGACUAUCUGGGCCAUUACUGACACUGAGGCACGAAAGCGUGGGGAGCAAACAGGAUUAGAUACCCCAGUAGUCCCUGUCUCUUAUAC